Molecule: long non-coding RNA, 329 nt
Organism: Hemicordylus capensis (graceful crag lizard)
Lineage: Eukaryota; Metazoa; Chordata; Lepidosauria; Squamata; Cordylidae
Exons: 3
Source: RefSeq, a predicted model, not a curated record
CUUGGAGGACCAUUUUAUGAUUGGAGCCAGGUGUUGACAUCCAGAUAGAUUCCCACCCCAAGUUGGACUGUCUUCUUGCUACAGGUGAAUCUCUAAACAUUGGCAUCAGAGGACUACAAUGAGAAGAGCAGGCAGUGGGAAUGCGGCAUGCAGAAUAGGGUAGUAUCCAGGUGCUUACCCAGCAUCUUUUCUCAAAGGCAACCUAGAGAACCAUUUAGCAUUCACAGAGGCUUGGCAUACUACCAGUGAUAUGCAAAACACAAGGUCUACUUCAGGAGUGACUAGUGGACCACGAGUGGAUCAACAGGGGAGUGGCCAUAGCUCAGUGG